UACGCAGGGUGCAAGCGUUGUCAGGAAUUAUUGGGCGUAAAGAGCUCGUAGGCGGUUUGUUGCGUCGGCUGUGAAAUCCCGAGGCUCAACCUCGGGUCUGCAGUCGAUACGAGCAAACUAGAGUGUUGCAGGGGAGACUGGAAUUCCUGGUGUAGCGGUGAAAUGCGCAGAUAUCAGGAGGAACACCGGUGGCGAAGGCGGGUCUCUGGGCAACAACUGACGCUGAGGAGCGAAAGCGUGGGGAGCGAACAGG
Molecule: ribosomal RNA, 253 nt
Filed under: uncultured bacterium
Lineage: Bacteria
Description: partial 16S ribosomal RNA
Rfam family: Bacterial small subunit ribosomal RNA
Source: RNAcentral